GGGGCUAAUAUAUCUGCCUUCUAUAGACUAAAUUGGAAUGAUACAGAGAUUAGCAUGGCCCCUGCGCAAGGAUGGCAAAUCUGUGAAGCAUUCCAUAUCACU
Small nuclear RNA from Dermochelys coriacea (leatherback sea turtle), 102 nucleotides. The record is from RefSeq and is a predicted model, not a curated record. Lineage: Eukaryota; Metazoa; Chordata; Testudines; Dermochelyidae.